CUACAUUAGACUGAACAUGGUUUUACUGCAGCACAUCUUGGCUAUGAUCCUAAAUCACACUUGUAGCUCUGCUUAUCAAGUAGCCAAUCCUUCCUAAUGCCAAUGACUGUAGAAGAAACUCAAGUCCCCAGGCAAUUCCUCAGAUGACUGCUUACAGCAGAAGACAAAGAAGAGGAUAAAAAGAAUUAAGUCAAGUUUUGGAGUCUUACUACAACAAUGGUGGAUGAUUAAGCCAUAUAU
RNAcentral lists this long non-coding RNA (240 nucleotides) under Gallus gallus (chicken). Lineage: Eukaryota; Metazoa; Chordata; Aves; Galliformes; Phasianidae. The record is from RNAcentral.